This 468-nucleotide ribosomal RNA is filed under the name uncultured bacterium. RNAcentral's name for it is "partial 16S ribosomal RNA". It matches the Rfam family "Bacterial small subunit ribosomal RNA", at positions 28 to 507 of the family's 1533-position model. The record is from RNAcentral.
GACGAACGCUGGCGGCGUGCUUAACACAUGCAAGUCGAACGGAAAGGCCCGGCUUUUGUGGGGUGCUCGAGUGGCGAACGGGUGAGUAACACGUGAGUAACCUGCCCUUGACUGUGGGAUAACUUCAGGAAACUGGGGCUAAUACCGGAUAGGAGCUCCUGCUGCAUGGUGGGGGUUGGAAAGUUUCGGCGGUUGGGGAUGGACUCGCGGCUUAUCAGCUGGUUGGUGGGGUAGUGGCUUACCAAGGCUUUGACGGGUAGCCGGCCUGAGAGGGUGACCGGCCACCUUGGGCCUGAGAUACGGCCCAGACUCCUACGGGAGGCAGCAGUGGGGAAUAUUGCACAAUGGGCGGAAGCCUGAUGCAGCAACGCCGCGUGCGGGAUGACGGCCUUCGGGUUGCAAACCGCUUUCGCCUGUGCCGAAGCGUGAGUGACGGUAAUGGGUAAAGAAGCACCGGCUAACUACGUG